RNAcentral lists this transfer RNA (87 nucleotides) under Oscillatoriaceae cyanobacterium M7585_C2015_266. It matches the Rfam family "tRNA". Rfam says of the family: Transfer RNA (tRNA) molecules are approximately 80 nucleotides in length. Their secondary structure includes four short double-helical elements and three loops (D, anti-codon, and T loops). The record is from Rfam by way of RNAcentral. Lineage: Bacteria; Bacillati; Cyanobacteriota; Cyanophyceae; Oscillatoriales; Oscillatoriaceae. RNAcentral also lists the same sequence under 4 other names.
GGAGAGGUGGCCGAGUGGCUUAAGGCGCAGCACUGGAAAUGCUGUUUGGGGGUAACUUCAACGUGGGUUCAAAUCCCACCCUCUCCG